AUUGAACGCUGGCGGCAGGCCUAACACAUGCAAGUCGAGCGGAUGAAGGGAGCUUGCUCCUGGAUUCAGCGGCGGACGGGUGAGUAAUGCCUAGGAAUCUGCCUGGUAGUGGGGGAUAACGUCCGGAAACGGGCGCUAAUACCGCAUACGUCCUGAGGGAGAAAGUGGGGGAUCUUCGGACCUCACGCUAUCAGAUGAGCCUAGGUCGGAUUAGCUAGUUGGUGGGGUAAAGGCCUACCAAGGCGACGAUCCGUAACUGGUCUGAGAGGAUGAUCAGUCACACUGGAACUGAGACACGGUCCAGACUCUUACGGGAGGCAGCAGUGGGGAAUAGUGGACAAUGGGCGAAAGCCUGAUCCAGCCAUGCCGCGUGUGUGAAGAAGGUCUUCGGAUUGUAAAGCACUUUAAGUUGGGAAGAAGGGAAGUAAGUUAAUACCUUGCUGUUUUGACGUUACCAACAGAAUAAGCACCGGCUAACUUCGUG
Molecule: ribosomal RNA, 484 nt
Filed under: uncultured bacterium
Lineage: Bacteria
Description: partial 16S ribosomal RNA
Rfam family: Bacterial small subunit ribosomal RNA
Source: RNAcentral